Molecule: ribosomal RNA, 390 nt
Filed under: Cercopithecus mona (Mona monkey)
Lineage: Eukaryota; Metazoa; Chordata; Mammalia; Primates; Cercopithecidae
Description: partial 12S ribosomal RNA
Rfam family: Bacterial small subunit ribosomal RNA
Source: RNAcentral
UUAGCCCUAAACCUCAGUAGUUAAAACAACAAAACUACUCGCCAGAAUACUACAAGCAACAGCUUGAAACUCAAAGGACUUGGCGGUGCUUCACAUCCCCCUAGAGGAGCCUGUCCCAUAAUCGAUAAACCCCGAUCCACCCCACCCUCUCUUGCUCAGCCUAUAUACCGCCAUCUUCAGCAAACCCUGAUAAAGGGUGCAGAGUGAGCGCAAAUGCCUGUCUUCGCAAAAACGUUAGGUCAAGGUGUAGCCUAUGAGAUGGUAAAAGAUGGGCUACAUUUUCUACCUUAGAAAACCCUACGAUAACUCUCAUGAAACCUAAGAGUCCAAGGAGGAUUUAGCAGUAAAUUAAGAAUAGAGUGCUUAAUUGAACUAGGCCAUAAAGCACGC